CCUACGGGAGUCAGCAGUGGGGAAUAUUGUACAAUGGGGGGAAACCCUGAUGCAGCAACGCCGCGUCAAGGAAGACGGUUUUCGGAUUGUAAACUUCUGUUCUUAGUGAAGAAUAAUGACGUUAGCUAAGGAGCAAUCCACGGCUCACUACGUGCCAGCAGCCGCGGUAAUACGUAGGUGGCAAGCGUUGUCCGGAAUUACUGGGUGUAAAGGGAGCGCAGGCGGGCAGCCAAGUCAGCUGUGAAAACUACGGGCUUAACUUGUAGAUUGCAGUUGAAACUGGUGUUCUUGAGUGAAUUAGAGGUUGGCGGAAUUCCGAGUGUAGCGGUGAAAUGCGUAGAUAUUAGGAGGAACACCGAUGGCGAAGGCGGCCAACUGGGCUGUAACUGACGCUGAGGCUCGAAAGUGUGGGGAGCAAACAGGAUUAGAUACCCUUGUAGUC
RNAcentral lists this ribosomal RNA (442 nucleotides) under uncultured bacterium. RNAcentral describes it as "partial 16S ribosomal RNA". It matches the Rfam family "Bacterial small subunit ribosomal RNA", at positions 338 to 795 of the family's 1533-position model. The record is from RNAcentral.